RNAcentral lists this transfer RNA (85 nucleotides) under Planctomycetota bacterium. RNAcentral describes it as "Planctomycetes bacterium (freshwater metagenome) tRNA-Ser". It matches the Rfam family "tRNA". From Rfam's summary of the family: Transfer RNA (tRNA) molecules are approximately 80 nucleotides in length. Their secondary structure includes four short double-helical elements and three loops (D, anti-codon, and T loops). Further hydrogen bonds mediate the characteristic L-shaped molecular structure. tRNAs have two regions of fundamental functional importance: the anti-codon, which is responsible for specific mRNA codon recognition, and the 3' end, to which the tRNAs corresponding amino acid is attached (by aminoacyl-tRNA synthetases). tRNAs cope with the degeneracy of the genetic code in two manners: having more than one tRNA (with a specific anti-codon) for a particular amino acid; and 'wobble' base-pairing, i.e. permitting non-standard base-pairing at the 3rd anti-codon position. The record is from RNAcentral. Lineage: Bacteria; Pseudomonadati; Planctomycetota.
GGAGCAGUGGCCGAGUGGCUUAAGGCGACGGUCUUGAAAACCGUUGGGCCGAAAGGCCCCGGGGGUUCGAAUCCCUCCUGCUCCG